This 114-nucleotide ribosomal RNA is filed under the name Klebsiella pneumoniae. The record is from RNAcentral. Lineage: Bacteria; Pseudomonadati; Pseudomonadota; Gammaproteobacteria; Enterobacterales; Enterobacteriaceae.
UGCGGCGGCACUAGCGCGGUGGUCCCACCUGACCCCAUGCCGAACUCAGAAGUGAAACGCCGUAGCGCCGAUGGUAGUGUGGGGUCUCCCCAUGUGAGUAGGGAACUGCCGGCA